UUUUUUAAGAUUCCAUACACAUCAAAAUGCACAAUAAAACUCAGUUUCAAACUUCAAAAUUUAAUCAAACUGAUUGUGAGAUUAUGUCUUCAACAUAUGAAAAUCAACCACAAUCCCUCCCGUUCGGGGUUUAGUAUCAUGCCAUCAUAAAUUAUACGAGAAGUACAUAACCCGUAUUUUGCUUUCACUAGACCAUCCAUUGUAGAUUUUGCAUGAUCGCCAUGGUCAUACUUUAUUCACUUAGUUCUCAUUUUCCAAAUCCUUCCAUAUCCGUUUUUUAUUUUUUUCAUUUUCUCUGAUUUUGAGUCUGAAAUAGAAAAAAAAUGUGUAUGUUACAAUCAUAACCAAAAACAUCUUCUUCAAAGUUAUUUCUCUAAUUCGAUGCAUUCGUUCUGUUUUUAUUUCGGCUUAUACUGCAGAUCGCAAUUCUUCUAUGCUAACAUGUGUAUAUACUAGAUUCUAGACGGGCAUUACUCUAUAAUAUACGGGCUCGAUUGUAAAUUGCCCUGAUACAUUACCUCACAUCUUAGAGAAAUUACUUUGAAAUUUUAUCGACACCUAAAUGUACAUGAACACGUUACAUGUGCGUUCUUUUCUGGAAUACCUUAGAUAUCCCGG
Molecule: long non-coding RNA, 618 nt
Filed under: Mytilus galloprovincialis (Mediterranean mussel)
Lineage: Eukaryota; Metazoa; Mollusca; Bivalvia; Mytilida; Mytilidae
Source: RNAcentral